Molecule: ribosomal RNA, 513 nt
Filed under: uncultured bacterium
Lineage: Bacteria
Description: partial 16S ribosomal RNA
Rfam family: Bacterial small subunit ribosomal RNA
Source: RNAcentral
UGGGGAAUAUUGCACAAUGGGCGCAAGCCUGAUGCAGCCAUGCCGCGUGUGUGAAGAAGGCCUUCGGGUUGUAAAGCACUUUCAGCGAGGAGGAAGGUGGUGAACUUAAUACGUUCAUCAAUUGACGUUACUCGCAGAAGAAGCACCGGCUAACUCCGUGCCAGCAGCCGCGGUAAUACGGAGGGUGCAAGCGUUAAUCGGAAUUACUGGGCGUAAAGCGCACGCAGGCGGUUUGUUAAGUCAGAUGUGAAAUCCCCGGGCUCAACCUGGGAACUGCAUUUGAAACUGGCAAGCUAGAGUCUCGUAGAGGGGGGCUAGAAUUCCAGGUGUAGCGGUGAAAUGCGUAGAGAUCUGGAGGAAUACCGGUGGCGAAGGCGGCCCCCUGGACGAAGACUGACGCUCAGGUGCGAAAGCGUGGGGCAGCAAACAGGAUUAGAUACCCUGGUAGUCCACGCUGUAAACGAUGUCGAUUUGGAGGUUGUGCCCCUUGAGGCGUGGNUUCCGGAGCUAACG